ACUUAAAUUGAAGAGUUUGAUCAUGGCUCAGAUUGAACGCUGGCGGCAGGCCUAACACAUGCAAGUCGAGCGGUAGCACAGAGAGCUUGCUCUCGGGUGACGAGCGGCGGACGGGUGAGUAAUGUCUGGGAAACUGCCUGAUGGAGGGGGAUAACUACUGGAAACGGUAGCUAAUACCGCAUAAUGUCGCAAGACCAAAGUGGGGGACCUUCGGGCCUCAUGCCA
RNAcentral lists this ribosomal RNA (225 nucleotides) under Klebsiella pneumoniae. RNAcentral describes it as "partial 16S ribosomal RNA". It matches the Rfam family "Bacterial small subunit ribosomal RNA", at positions 1 to 220 of the family's 1533-position model. Lineage: Bacteria; Pseudomonadati; Pseudomonadota; Gammaproteobacteria; Enterobacterales; Enterobacteriaceae. The record is from RNAcentral.